GGGCUAGACAGGAUUCGAUUGGUAACAGAGUAAUAUGAGUGCAAGUAGGUUGGAACACCUUUAACAUUCCAAAUAAUAUAGACGCAGAAGAGAAAUCUUCAUUUACUUUCGCAGAUGCACUUGCUUUCGUAGGUGCUUCUGAAGAAGUAGUUCUUGCUUAAUUAAAGCACAGAACCACUGGUUGCUCACAAUACCAGUGAACGGAGCAAGGUGAGCAAACCACCCACUUGGUUAUGUGGCGCCCAUCAGGUAUCAUGGCAGCGACAAUGCAAAAAGAGCCCGAGCCUCUUGUUAGUUUUCAGCUCGUAAAAACUAUUGAAUGCAAACUAACUAAACUUGUAAAUGACUGAUAUUAUGAUUUUAUCAAGACCUGGGUUCAAAUCCCAGCUAGUCCAC
RNAcentral lists this transfer-messenger RNA (396 nucleotides) under Ignavibacteriaceae bacterium. It matches the Rfam family "transfer-messenger RNA". From Rfam's summary of the family: Bacterial tmRNA, also known as 10Sa RNA or SsrA, is named for its dual tRNA and mRNA-like properties. Lineage: Bacteria; Pseudomonadati; Ignavibacteriota; Ignavibacteria; Ignavibacteriales; Ignavibacteriaceae. The record is from RNAcentral.